This 267-nucleotide ribosomal RNA is filed under the name uncultured bacterium. RNAcentral describes it as "partial 16S ribosomal RNA". It matches the Rfam family "Bacterial small subunit ribosomal RNA", at positions 338 to 619 of the family's 1533-position model. The record is from RNAcentral.
CCUACGGGGGGCAGCAGUGGGGAAUAUUGGGCAAUGGGCGCAAGCCUGACCCUGCAACGCCGCGUGAAGGAAGAAGGCUUUCGGGUUGUAAACUUCUUUUCUCAGGGACGAAGCAAGUGACGGUACCUGAGGAAUAAGCCACGGCUAACUACGUGCCAGCAGCCGCGGUAAUACGUAGGAGGCAAGCGUUAUCCGGAUUUACUGGGGGUAAAGGGCGUGGAGGCGGGAAAGCAAGAAAGAUGGGAAAGCACGGGGCUCAACCCCGGG